This 2911-nucleotide ribosomal RNA is filed under the name Klebsiella pneumoniae. Its description in RNAcentral is "partial 23S ribosomal RNA". It matches the Rfam family "Bacterial large subunit ribosomal RNA". The record is from RNAcentral. Lineage: Bacteria; Pseudomonadati; Pseudomonadota; Gammaproteobacteria; Enterobacterales; Enterobacteriaceae.
UAAGCGACUAAGCGUACACGGUGGAUGCCCUGGCAGUCAGAGGCGAUGAAGGACGUGCUAAUCUGCGAAAAGCGUCGGUAAGGUGAUAUGAACCGUUAUAACCGGCGAUGUCCGAAUGGGGAAACCCAGUGCAAUUCGUUGCACUAUCGUUAACUGAAUACAUAGGUUAACGAGGCGAACCGGGGGAACUGAAACAUCUAAGUACCCCGAGGAAAAGAAAUCAACCGAGAUUCCCCCAGUAGCGGCGAGCGAACGGGGAGCAGCCCAGAGUCUGAAUCAGCUUGUGUGUUAGUGGAACGGUCUGGAAAGUCCGACGGUACAGGGUGAUAGUCCCGUACACCAAAAUGCACAGGUUGUGAACUCGAAGAGUAGGGCGGGACACGUGGUAUCCUGUCUGAAUAUGGGGGGACCAUCCUCCAAGGCUAAAUACUCCUGACUGACCGAUAGUGAACCAGUACCGUGAGGGAAAGGCGAAAAGAACCCCGGCGAGGGGAGUGAAAAAGAACCUGAAACCGUGUACGUACAAGCAGUGGGAGCACCUUCGGGUGUGACUGCGUACCUUUUGUAUAAUGGGUCAGCGACUUAUAUUCUGUAGCAAGGUUAACCGUAUAGGGGAGCCGCAGGGAAACCGAGUCUUAACUGGGCGUUAAGUUGCAGGGUAUAGACCCGAAACCCGGUGAUCUAGCCAUGGGCAGGUUGAAGGUUGGGUAACACUAACUGGAGGACCGAACCGACUAAUGUUGAAAAAUUAGCGGAUGACUUGUGGCUGGGGGUGAAAGGCCAAUCAAACCGGGAGAUAGCUGGUUCUCCCCGAAAGCUAUUUAGGUAGCGCCUCGUGAAUUCAUCUUCGGGGGUAGAGCACUGUUUCGGCUAGGGGGUCAUCCCGACUUACCAACCCGAUGCAAACUACGAAUACCGAAGAAUGUUAUCACGGGAGACACACGGCGGGUGCUAACGUCCGUCGUGAAGAGGGAAACAACCCAGACCGCCAGCUAAGGUCCCAAAGUCAUGGUUAAGUGGGAAACGAUGUGGGAAGGCACAGACAGCCAGGAUGUUGGCUUAGAAGCAGCCAUCAUUUAAAGAAAGCGUAAUAGCUCACUGGUCGAGUCGGCCUGCGCGGAAGAUGUAACGGGGCUAAACCAUGCACCGAAGCUGCGGCAGCGACACUAUGUGUUGUUGGGUAGGGGAGCGUUCUGUAAGCCUGCGAAGGUGACCUGUGAGGGUUGCUGGAGGUAUCAGAAGUGCGAAUGCUGACAUAAGUAACGAUAAAGCGGGUGAAAAGCCCGCUCGCCGGAAGACCAAGGGUUCCUGUCCAACGUUAAUCGGGGCAGGGUGAGUCGACCCCUAAGGCGAGGCCGAAAGGCGUAGUCGAUGGGAAACAGGUUAAUAUUCCUGUACUUGGUGUUACUGCGAAGGGGGGACGGAGAAGGCUAUGUUAGCCGGGCGACGGUUGUCCCGGUUUAAGCAUGUAGGCUGGUUGUCCAGGCAAAUCCGGAUAAUCAAGGCUGAGGUGUGAUGACGAGGCACUACGGUGCUGAAGUAACAAAUGCCCUGCUUCCAGGAAAAGCCUCUAAGCAUCAGGUAACAUCAAAUCGUACCCCAAACCGACACAGGUGGUCAGGUAGAGAAUACCAAGGCGCUUGAGAGAACUCGGGUGAAGGAACUAGGCAAAAUGGUGCCGUAACUUCGGGAGAAGGCACGCUGGUGUGUAGGUGAAGUCCCUGCGGAUGGAGCUGAGACCAGUCGAAGAUACCAGCUGGCUGCAACUGUUUAUUAAAAACACAGCACUGUGCAAACACGAAAGUGGACGUAUACGGUGUGACGCCUGCCCGGUGCCGGAAGGUUAAUUGAUGGGGUUAUCCGUAAGGAGAAGCUCUUGAUCGAAGCCCCGGUAAACGGCGGCCGUAACUAUAACGGUCCUAAGGUAGCGAAAUUCCUUGUCGGGUAAGUUCCGACCUGCACGAAUGGCGUAAUGAUGGCCAGGCUGUCUCCACCCGAGACUCAGUGAAAUUGAACUCGCUGUGAAGAUGCAGUGUACCCGCGGCAAGACGGAAAGACCCCGUGAACCUUUACUAUAGCUUGACACUGAACAUUGAGCCUUGAUGUGUAGGAUAGGUGGGAGGCUUUGAAGCGUGGACGCCAGUCUGCGUGGAGCCAACCUUGAAAUACCACCCUUUAAUGUUUGAUGUUCUAACGUUGGCCCCUGACCGGGGUUGCGGACAGUGUCUGGUGGGUAGUUUGACUGGGGCGGUCUCCUCCCAAAGCGUAACGGAGGAGCACGAAGGUUAGCUAAUCCUGGUCGGACAUCAGGAGGUUAGUGCAAUGGCAUAAGCUAGCUUGACUGCGAGCGUGACGGCGCGAGCAGGUGCGAAAGCAGGUCAUAGUGAUCCGGUGGUUCUGAAUGGAAGGGCCAUCGCUCAACGGAUAAAAGGUACUCCGGGGAUAACAGGCUGAUACCGCCCAAGAGUUCAUAUCGACGGCGGUGUUUGGCACCUCGAUGUCGGCUCAUCACAUCCUGGGGCUGAAGUAGGUCCCAAGGGUAUGGCUGUUCGCCAUUUAAAGUGGUACGCGAGCUGGGUUUAGAACGUCGUGAGACAGUUCGGUCCCUAUCUGCCGUGGGCGCUGGAGAAUUGAGGGGGGCUGCUCCUAGUACGAGAGGACCGGAGUGGACGCAUCACUGGUGUUCGGGUUGUCAUGCCAAUGGCACUGCCCGGUAGCUAAAUGCGGAAGAGAUAAGUGCUGAAAGCAUCUAAGCACGAAACUUGCCCCGAGAUGAGUUCUCCCUGAGACUUUAAGUCUCCUGAAGGAACGUUAAAGACGAUGACGUUGAUAGGCCGGGUGUGUAAGCGCAGCGAUGCGUUGAGCUAACCGGUACUAAUGAACCGUGAGGCUUAACCUUACAACGCCGAAG